This 1054-nucleotide ribosomal RNA is filed under the name fungal sp. SMCD2210. RNAcentral describes it as "eukaryotic LSU rRNA". It matches the Rfam family "Eukaryotic large subunit ribosomal RNA", at positions 47 to 1114 of the family's 3401-position model. The record is from RNAcentral. Lineage: Eukaryota; Fungi.
UUACCGGGGAGAAAGAACAACAGGGAUGCCCUAGUAACGGCGAGUGAAGCGGCAACAGCUCAAAUUUGAAAUCUGGCUCUCUUUGGGGGUCCGAGUUGUAAUUUGCAGAGGAUGCUUUGGCAUUGGCGGCGGUCUAAGUUCCUUGGAACAGGACAUCACAGAGGGUGAGAAUCCCGUACGUGGUCGCCUGCCUUUGCCGUGUAAAGCUCCUUCGACGAGUCGAGUUGUUUGGGAAUGCAGCUCUAAAUGGGAGGUAAAUUUCUUCUAAAGCUAAAUACUGGCCAGAGACCGAUAGCGCACAAGUAGAGUGAUCGAAAGAUGAAAAGUACUUUGGAAAGAGAGUCAAAAAGCACGUGAAAUUGUUGAAAGGGAAGCGCUUGCAGCCAGACUUGCCCGCAGUUGCUCACCUAGGCUUUGGCCUGGGGCACUCUUCUGCGGGCAGGCCAGCAUCAGUUUGGGCGGUUGGAUAAAGGCCUCUGUCACGUAUCUCCCUUCGGGGUGACCUUAUAGGGGAGGCGCAAUGCAACCAGCCCGGACUGAGGUCCGCGCAUCUGCUAGGAUGCUGGCGUAAUGGCUGUAAGCGGCCCGUCUUGAAACACGGACCAAGGAGUCUAACAUCUAUGCGAGUGUUUGGGUGUCAAGCCCGAGCGCGCAAUGAAAGUGAACGGAGGUGGGAACCCUUUGGGUGCACCAUCGACCGAUCCUGAUGUCUUCGGAUGGAUUUGAGUAAGAGCAUAGCUGUUGGGACCCGAAAGAUGGUGAACUAUGCUUGAAUAGGGUGAAGCCAGAGGAACUCUGGUGGAGGCUCGCAGCGGUUCUGACGUGCAAAUCGAUCGUCAAUUUGGGCAUAGGGCGAAGACUAAUCGAACCAUCUAGUAGCUGGUUCUGCGAGUUCUCCCCUCAGGAAAACAACUGUUCCUAGAUGGUUCGAAUUAGCCUUCGCCCCUUGCCAAAUUUGACGAUCGAAUUGCACGUCGAUCGCUUGCUGACCUCCAGAGUCCCUGGUUCCUUAAUCAAGUCCUAGGUCACUCUUUCGGGUCCCAAGACUAUACUC